RNAcentral lists this ribosomal RNA (249 nucleotides) under uncultured bacterium. Its description in RNAcentral is "partial 16S ribosomal RNA". It matches the Rfam family "Bacterial small subunit ribosomal RNA", at positions 8 to 248 of the family's 1533-position model. The record is from RNAcentral.
CAGAGUUUAUCCUGGCUCAGGAUGAACGCUAGCUACAGGCUUAACACAUGCAAGUCGAGGGGCAGCAUGAACUUAGCUUGCUAAGUUUGAUGGCGACCGGCGCACGGGUGAGUAACACGUAUCCAACCUUCCGUUUACUCAGGGAUAGCCUUUCGAAAGAAAGAUUAAUACCUGAUAGUAUGGUGAGAUUGCAUGAUAGCACCAUUAAAGAUUUAUUGGUAAACGAUGGGGAUGCGUUCCAUUAGGUAG